This is an unclassified non-coding RNA of Callithrix jacchus (white-tufted-ear marmoset), 335 nucleotides long. It matches the Rfam family "Metazoan signal recognition particle RNA". From Rfam's summary of the family: The signal recognition particle (SRP) is a universally conserved ribonucleoprotein. It is involved in the co-translational targeting of proteins to membranes. The record is from Ensembl. Lineage: Eukaryota; Metazoa; Chordata; Mammalia; Primates; Cebidae.
GCUGGGCGUGGUGGUGCGUGCCUGUAAUCCCAGCUACUCGGGAGGCCGAGGCAGGAGAAUUGCCUGAACCCAGGAGGCCAGAGGUUGUGGUGAGCCGAGAUUGCACCAUUGCACUCCAGCCUCGGUAGCAAGAGCGAAACUCUGUCUCAAAAAUAAAUAAAUAAAAUAAAAUUUUGCUGUAGAGAUGGGGGUCUGGCAAUGUUACCCUGGCUGGUCUAUUUUUUUUUUUUUUUGAGACGGAGUUUCGCUCUCGUUCCCCAGGCUGGAGUGCAAUGGCGCGAUCUCGGCUCACCACAACCUCCGCCUCCUGGGUUCAGGCAAUUCUCCUGCCUCAG